Lagopus muta (rock ptarmigan) is the source of this 915-nucleotide long non-coding RNA. RefSeq lists it as uncharacterized. The transcript is spliced from 3 exons. NCBI's taxonomy places the organism in Eukaryota, Metazoa, Chordata, Aves, Galliformes, Phasianidae. The record is from RefSeq and is a predicted model, not a curated record.
AGGCGAACGGGGCGGCUCCCGGGCGGCGGCAGCGCCGCGCUCCGUCGCGCGGUGGGAGCCGUCGCGCUGCGAUCCGGUGCCGUCGCUCUUCGUUUGGACGUGGCGGGGAAGCCGGCGUCUCGCUCGCUCUCGCUGAGCGUCGUUUUCAUGGCGGUGGUCCUUGGAGAUGGCGGCGGGGAAGCGCGGGGCUCCGUCCGGAUGGCGAGUUUGGCUUUUGGCCUCGCUCGGUGGAGUUUUGCUUUCGGCCCGGAGUGCGCCGGCAGGAGGCUGCGGAUGGCGGGGCCUGAUGGUGUGUGAAUGAGGGCUCCCCGCUGGAAUUUGUGCCGAGCAAAGCUGGACGAGGAGUGGAUCCACGCGCCUGGUGCUCUGUUUGAGUGGGGGAGGAGGAGGCACGGCUGAAGACCGUUGAGGAGCAGAGUGUGAGUGGCUGCGACCUUGCGUUGGGCCUCAGGAGAACAGUGUGUGACUGUGUCUCGAGCAUCGUGCGUGGCCGUUGCCAGGUAGGUGUGCCUUCCUUUGCAGUAAGCAGUGCUUAGGCGUGAGCCCAGCUCAUCCCCCUGUCCUGAGCAGAUGGGCUUUCUGCGUGCUUUAUUGCUGUGCUUGGUGCCGUCCGGCACAGCAGCAGCAAGGCCGUGAACACGUACGUAGCCAGGUAGAUGCAAAUGUGCAAGUGAUGGUAUGAAUACUCUUGUUGUUAGUGUUCAUGAGACAGUGGUCAUGCGUGUGUGAUCAAGCUCAGGGAGAAGUUGAUUCUUGCGUGUUCAGCUGUUGCUGAAAUGCAAGUUUGGCGUCCCUGCUUGUGGUUGGGUCGGAAGACCAAAGAUAUGUUCAGAGCACGUCUGUGAGUCAGGCUGGGAGGUUUUGCUAGCAGGAAGUCACAGCGUCGGAGCGCAGGAAUGGAAUGAUGGCUCUCAU